UCAUGUCUGUCCCCCUGAAAUUAUUCCGGAUUAUUUACUAGUUGUUUCUGUUUUUUUUUAGUUGUUCCAGGGGGACUACUUAGCUUCCACUCCUCUGUAUGCCGCCAUUUUGGAUCUUCCUUCACAGUCCCACUUUUGAUGAGAGCCAAUCAGAAUGUCUGGAUAUGUAUUUUGAAGUGAGACUUGAGAUGGAUGAAAUCUUUUGUGUAAGUCAGUUAUCUUCCACAAUGCUGUAAUUUCAUUUCAACUCUUUUUCCAGUGCCUGCUAUAUUAUCUCUCAAUGUGUGCUUUACUUAGAGUACAACCACUCUAUCAAUACAAGGUUCAUUGUGAAUGAUCAAAAAAUGAUCUAAGAAUGUUGCUUAGAACUGAAGAAUGAACAUCUUUUGUCCAGGUUGAGUAAUAAUUUAUAUUGACCAACUAUGUAUGCUGAAUUAACUUAUUCCAUUAAAGUGUAAAACGAA
Long non-coding RNA from Choloepus didactylus (southern two-toed sloth), 464 nucleotides. RefSeq lists it as uncharacterized. Lineage: Eukaryota; Metazoa; Chordata; Mammalia; Pilosa; Megalonychidae. The record is from RefSeq and is a predicted model, not a curated record. The transcript is spliced from 2 exons.